UACGUAGGGUGCAAGCGUUGUCCGGAAUUAUUGGGCGUAAAGAGCUCGUAGGCGGCUUGUCGCGUCGAUUGUGAAAACCUGGGGCUUAACUCCGGGCCUGCAGUCGAUACGGGCAAGCUAGAGUUCGGUAGGGGAGACUGGAAUUCCUGGUGUAGCGGUGAAAUGCGCAGAUAUCAGGAGGAACACCGGUGGCGAAGGCGGGUCUCUGGGCCGAUACUGACGCUGAGGAGCGAAAGCGUGGGGAGCGAACAGG
Molecule: ribosomal RNA, 253 nt
Filed under: uncultured bacterium
Lineage: Bacteria
Description: partial 16S ribosomal RNA
Rfam family: Bacterial small subunit ribosomal RNA
Source: RNAcentral